This 767-nucleotide ribosomal RNA is filed under the name uncultured bacterium. RNAcentral's name for it is "bacterial SSU rRNA". It matches the Rfam family "Bacterial small subunit ribosomal RNA", at positions 633 to 1399 of the family's 1533-position model. The record is from RNAcentral.
CUAAAGGGCUUGAGUAUGGGAGAGGGAAGUGGAAUUCCUGGUGUAGCGGUGAAAUGCGUAGAUAUCAGGAGGAACACCGGUGGCGAAGGCGACUUCCUGGACCAAUACUGACGCUAAAGCGCGAAGGCGUGGGUAGCAAACAGGAUUAGAUACCCUGGUAGUCCACGCAGUAAACGGUGAACACUAGGUGUAGCGGGUAUUGACCCCUGCUGUGCCGCAGCUAACGCAUUAAGUGUUCCGCCUGGGGAGUACGGUCGCAAGAUUGAAACUCAAAGGAAUUGACGGGGGCCCGCACAAGCGGAGGAACAUGUGGUUUAAUUCGAUGAUACGCGAGGAACCUUACCUGGGCUUAAAUGCAGAACGAUGUGCCGGGAAACUGGUAUUCCCUUCGGGGCGAACUGCAAGGUGCUGCAUGGCUGUCGUCAGCUCGUGCCGUGAGGUGUCGGGUUAAGUCCCAUAACGAGCGCAACCCCUAUCGUUAGUUGCCAGCGGAUAAUGCCGGGGACUCUAACGAAACUGCCAGUGUAAACUGUGAGGAAGGUGGGGAUGACGUCAAGUCAGCACGGCCCUUAUAUCCAGGGCUACACACGUGUUACAAUGGCCGGUACAGAGGGCAGCUACCUGGUGACAGGAUGCGAAUCUCGAAACCCGGUCCCAGUUCGGAUCGAAGUCUGCAACUCGACUUCGUGAAGGUGGAUUCGCUAGUAAUCGCGCAUCAGCCACGGCGCGGUGAAUACGUUCCCGGGCCUUGUACACACCGCCCGUCA